RNAcentral lists this long non-coding RNA (321 nucleotides) under Ananas comosus (pineapple). RNAcentral describes it as "long non-coding RNA (ACOM_LNC010456)". Lineage: Eukaryota; Viridiplantae; Streptophyta; Magnoliopsida; Poales; Bromeliaceae. The record is from RNAcentral.
UCAGGCUCAAGCUUACAAGUAUCAGGCGAUGUGAGCCGCGCUCUACUCACAACAGUCAACAGCAUGAGAGCCUCGCUCUUCCCGCUGUACAAUCCCGCCUCAGCCGAGACUCAUCUCACACUUCCGGCUGGUAAUUGGCUCUAAUACCAACAGUGAUGCCCCAACUUCCCAGAGGGGCACCUAUCCUAGGACUACUCUCGUCCUAGUACGCUUAAUUCUCUUAACCUCUUAGACCUUACCACCACCGAAAAUACUUAAGCCGGGUUGAGAGUUUUGCCCUAUAUAUUAUAUCUCAUAUAUAGGAUUAUCUGGGUUCUCACA